Molecule: ribosomal RNA, 256 nt
Filed under: uncultured bacterium
Lineage: Bacteria
Description: partial 16S ribosomal RNA
Rfam family: Bacterial small subunit ribosomal RNA
Source: RNAcentral
UACGAAGGGGGCUAGCGUUGCUCGGAAUCACUGGGCGUAAAGCGCACGUAGGCGGCUUUCUAAGUCAGGGGUGAAAUCCUGGAGCUCAACUCCAGAACUGCCUUUGAUACUGGAGAGCUUGAGUCCGGGAGAGGUGAGUGGAACUCCGAGUGUAGAGGUGAAAUUCGUAGAUAUUCGGAAGAACACCAGUGGCGAAGGCGGCUCACUGGCCCGGUACUGACGCUGAGGUGCGAAAAGCGUGGGGGAGCAAACAGGG